UUUGUUAUUGACAAAACAGAAAUUAAUCCAAUGUUCAAAAUGGUGUUUGAAUUAUGGACCAGUCAUCAGUGCUCAAUCCAAGUCUAAGAAUGAAAAACAUGUAAGAACUGAAAUGGAAGGCUUCCUUUUCUGGGGAACAAAAGAAGAAAAAAAGAGAACUGAAUUACAACUACCUUGUAAAUUUGAUUUAUCAAAUAGGAUGAAAACAAACAAAUUUAGCUUAUGUCCUUUUAUUUUAUUCUUUUCCUCUUCAUUCCCAUCCCCCUCUAAAAUUUAUGAUGCAAACAUAGUUUGAAUAUUAUAUAUAAAAAGAAGGUAAAUAGUCAAAAUGUUCAAGCUAUGGAAUUUUGGAACAUGCCUUCCUAUAAUUUUGCAACAAAAUGGUGCAUGCACUUUUAUUUCCCCUAAAUUUUUUGCUUUGAAAACCAAUUCUUGGAUACUACCUGUCCAUGCUGCUUGAUAGAACAUAAUUUAGAUCUCAAGCUCACUCAAGUCAAUUGGAAAACAUUACACAUCAGAUUCAACUAGCUUAGAAAAUAGUCUGUCUUGGUCUUGAAGCACAACCUAACUAGUUAGGAUUUCGCUUAAAGGUGAUAAAUUGAUAAAAUAUUACAGUGUGGUAAUUUAUAUUUGAAAUCUUUUACAAUUAUGUUUCAAUCAUGUCAUAAUUUGUUAAAAAGAUGAUGAGUACUUAAUUUAUUUAUAUUAAUUCAAUCCAUAUUAUUUUUAUAAAGAUUAAAAAUGUCAGAUGUUAACUCUGAAGCACCAGUUAACUCUGAAGCACCCGUUAACUCUCAAGUACCAUUUGAGAGUGAUGCGUCACAACAUUCAUCGCCAGCUACGAACGCACCUACGAACUCACCGUCUCCCCUCUCUAAUCAACAUGUUAUUGAUUUAGAAGAGUCUAAUACUACUUGUGGAGGAACUAAAAGAAAACCAAGUAUUGUGUGGGAACAUUUUAAAAAACAACAAGUCAAUGGGGUGUGGAAGGCAAUAUGUAAUUAUUGUAAUAAGCAUCUUGAAGGUGAUUCAAAAAAUGGAACCAGGCAUUUGCAUGAUUACCAUGGAAUAAUUUCACUAUUGAAUUUAUAUUCUUUACUUUUUAGGAAAUUCAACAUUGGAAUCGGUGGGCUAUGUAACUAUAUAUGAUUAUGAUGAGAUGGAGUCGGAUCAGUCAUGUGCCACUUUUGUGAGUUCAAGUUGAAGGAGAUGAUGGAAGUUGUGUGGUUUGUAUGGGUUUGAAGAAACAAUGGAUUUGCUUUUUUUGUUGUAAUGGAUAUUUUUAUUUUUAUUUUUAAUUUCAAUUUUUGGGUAACCUAUCCCUUGCGGGUUGUGCUUGGGAUUAAUUAUUUUCUUUGCUACUUGUUGAAUUUUCUUGUGUGCUGCUGGACACAUGUUUUGGUUGUGUUA
Camellia sinensis is the source of this 1410-nucleotide non-coding RNA. Lineage: Eukaryota; Viridiplantae; Streptophyta; Magnoliopsida; Ericales; Theaceae. The record is from RefSeq and is a predicted model, not a curated record.